UGCGUAGGUGGUCUCGUGUGUCGGAUGUGAAAUCCCGUGGCUCAACUGCGGAACUGCAUUCGAAACUGCGGGACUAGAGUACAGGAAGGGAGAGCGGAAUUCUUGGUGUAGCGGUGAAAUGCGUUGAUAUCAAGAGGAACACCGGUGGCGAAGGCGGCUCUCUGGAAUGUUACUGACACUGAGGCACGAAAGCUGGGGGAGCAAACAGGAUUAGAUACCCUGGUAGUCC
RNAcentral lists this ribosomal RNA (229 nucleotides) under uncultured bacterium. Its description in RNAcentral is "partial 16S ribosomal RNA". It matches the Rfam family "Bacterial small subunit ribosomal RNA", at positions 568 to 796 of the family's 1533-position model. The record is from RNAcentral.